This 328-nucleotide transfer-messenger RNA is filed under the name Rhodospirillales bacterium. It matches the Rfam family "Alphaproteobacteria transfer-messenger RNA". Rfam says of the family: Bacterial tmRNA, also known as 10Sa RNA or SsrA, is named for its dual tRNA and mRNA-like properties. Its role is to liberate the mRNA from a stalled ribosome. To accomplish this part of the tmRNA is used as a reading frame that ends in a translation stop signal. The record is from RNAcentral. Lineage: Bacteria; Pseudomonadati; Pseudomonadota; Alphaproteobacteria; Rhodospirillales.
AACCUUGCGAAAACGCACGCAUGAGCGCAUAUUAGGGCUGCCGGUUCGUCCGGCUAUGGUGAUAAACGCUUUUCGGAAUAAGCGUUGCGGACCCGGGGGCAGUGCCCGGCACCUCCACCAGGUUUUCCUGUCCCGAUACGGGGCAAGCUGAUGGGGGUGAAACAGGAUCGACGCGCGUGGUAAAGGACUAGUUUUCACUCGGCAUGGUUCCGCCGUUACCGGGCCAUUUUCACAAGUGCCAACGACAAUGACGCACUUGCGGUUGCGGCCUAAUACGCCAUAACAACCACGGGGUUCGAGGGGCACCUGGCAACAGAAGCCCCUCACU